Taeniopygia guttata (zebra finch) is the source of this 2569-nucleotide long non-coding RNA. NCBI's taxonomy places the organism in Eukaryota, Metazoa, Chordata, Aves, Passeriformes, Estrildidae. The record is from Ensembl.
GGAAAGCCCAGAGUGGGAUGUUUGCAGGAGCCUGGGGAGCAUUUCCAGCCUUGCUGGGUGGGCUCCAGCUGCAGCUGGGUUUGUUUUCUUUCAGGGAUCAUGUCUGUCUGUUACUUGAGUUGUAGAAGUCGUGCUGCUGAGUUUACCAAGGUCUGUGUUGCAUUUCAGUCCGGGUUCAUUUCUCUGCAGGCUUCUGUCCUGCUUUGCUCACUGAAUCUUGUCAGGAGUAGUUUGUACUUUAUAGCUGCAGGCUUCAUUGAAGUACUUUCCUUUAUUUUGUCAUACUUUUUUAUUAUUUAAAAACGAGAGCCCUAAAGAUUGUAAAACUUUGCUUUUUUUUUUUUUUUUUUGGUAACCAGAUAGUGAAAACAUCCCCAUUUACACCUCGUGCAAUGUUCCCAAACACGAGGUGACUCUGAUUUUCCUUCUUUCCAUAGUUUGUGCAUGGGAGAGAGAAACUUUCCCUUAUUUUAACCUGGGGAAUGAGUGACAGGGAGCGCUUCUGCAGAGUUUUCAAGCAGCUGCUGCCACAAACCUUUAGCCACACGUGAGCCCUGCCCCUGCUGCGAGCUGGCUUGGCAUCCACAGAGAAUAAACCACCUGAAAACGCCCCAAACCCAGAGCUCUCACCCCACAUUCUGGUUUCAUUUAGCCUGAGUGUGUGUGAGCCUCUCCUGCAGUGUUGGUGGGCAGGAGCUUUGUGCCCAGCUCAGGUGUUUGGUGGUGGGCACGGGCUGAGGAGCAGCUCAGCUCUUACAGAGCUCUCAGUGCUGCUGGUGAGGCUCUGCAGGAGCGGUUCAGGGCUGCCCUGGUGUCCAGGCACAUUCCUCCUGCUCGGGCAUUUCUCCUGGGGCUGCUCCCUUCCAGCUGGGUCAGGUUCAUGCUCUGGUGAUGGAACAGCUCUGGAGCAAGCCCCUGAGACGGAAAGUGCAGGGGAGAAGGGAGAUGCUCCAUGGCACCUUCCCUGGCAGUGCCAGGGCCUGGACCAGCUGGGCUCUCUGCGUUCUCCCUGCCCUUGCCAGAAUCCCUUCUUGUGGCUGCUGCUCCCAGGCAGGAGUGACAGUGCUGAUGGAGAUCCCAAAGCUGUGCUCUGUCCCCAGUGAGAAAUCCCUGGUGGCUCUUCAGUCUCCUGCUGCUGUGCUUUAACCCUUUUGUUGCUGCUGUGCCCAGCAGGGCAGAGCUUUGCUGCAGCUUUGGGGCAGGGCUGGGCUGCCAGUGCUGGCUGUGGGCACUGGAGGGCAAAGCAGCUCCACGGAGCAGCCAGGAGAGCAGCAGAGCUCUGCCUGUGGGUGGCUGCCCUGCUCACAACGGCCUGACCUGGAACUGGCUCUGUGGUGAGAAAUGGGCUGACUGGAAAUUAAUUCUGUGAUGAGAAAUGGCCUGGUCAGAAAUGCCCUGAUGAGAAAAUACCCUGAUCAGAAAUGCCCUGAUGAGACAUUCAUUGAUCAGAAAAUUCCCUGAUCAGAAAAUGCCCUGAUCAGACAUUCCUUUAUUAGAAAAUUCCCUGAUCAGACAUUGCCUGAUCAGAAAAUUCCCUGACCAGCUUUGUUCCUGCCUCCUCCCUCCAAACCUGCCUGGGAAGGGUUUCCUGCAUGGAAAAAAUCCCUUAAAAGCCAUGAAAGAGUGGGAGCAGUGGAUGCAGGGAGGAGGGGAGGGAGCUGGGGUUUGGAUGGAGGGGGGUUAAAAUCCUGUCCUGCUCCUUUGCCAUGGGCAGGGAAUCUCCUGCAGGUCUGGUCUGGCACUGCCAGGGGUGGGGUUUGGGAAGGUUUGGGAAGGACGGGAAGGUUUGGGAAGGAUGGGAAGGUUUGGGAAGGAUGGGAAGGUUUGGGAAGGACGGGAAGCUGCUGCUCCUGGCUGCUUUGGCUGGUUCUGGGCUGGAGCUGGUGCUCAGGGAUGUGCAGCAGCCCUGCAGGGCCCUGGGGAUGCAGCAGCUGCAGGAAUUUGGGUGCAGAGGGCACACAGGGACCCCGGGGACGGGGCAGUUCUGCAGCUGCAGGGCUGGAGCUCAGCCUGGCACAGAAAAACGUUCAGGGCAGGGAAGGGCAGAGCAGGAGAGGGGAGCUGGUGCCAGCUGGGUUUGUGUGUGGGAUGGGAGGAGAGGACAGGACCCCGUGGCAAGGUCCCGGGCUGGCACGGGAGCCACCAGUGUCCCUGGCCACCAGCCAGGGAGGUGGCAGUGCCAUGGGGAGGGGACACUGGGCACCCCCAGGUGUUUUUAGGGGCUGCUUGGGUUUGGACAAGGGUUGGGCCAGGUCUGUGGACACCGGGGUGGGAAUUCUGCUUUUCCCUGCCUGGCUGCAGCCCCCUCCUGCAGCACUGUGCAGCUCCUGCAGCCCCAUGCAGCCCCUGCAGCCCCUGCAGCCCCAGCUCUGCAGCCCCAGCUCUGCAGCCUGGCCUGUUCUUUCUCUGUGCAUCGUCCUUCUGGUUCCAGUUCUAGCUGCACUCGUAGAGUUGCCUUCCUUUGACCGAAUGUUGGAAUGUGAAAUAUUGUAUAUUUUAAAGUAUUUACCCUAUUUAUAUACUGUAUGUUACUGUUAAAUAAAUAUAAAUUCCAUUACCCGCGGGGAGU